AAGUCCUGUUUGAUUUGGGAGUGCUCGAAAGUCCCCGAUACACAGGUGCUGCAUGGCUGUCGUCAGCUCGUGUCGUGAGAUGUUGGGUUAAGUCCCGCAACGAGCGCAACCCUUGUCCUUAGUUGCUACGCAAGAGCACUCUAAGGAGACUGCCGGUGACAAACCGGAGGAAGGUGGGGAUGACGUCAAGUCCUCAUGGCCCUUAUGGGUAGGGCUUCACUUUUUUUUUUUGGUCGGAACAGAGGGUUGCCAACCCGGAGGGGGAGCUAAUCCCAGAAAACCGAUCGUAGUCCGGAUUGCACUCUGCAACUCGAGUGCAUGAAGCUGGAAUCGCUAGUAAUCGCGGAUCACAUGCCGCGGUGAAUACGUUCCCGGGUCUUGUACACACCGCCCGUCACACU
Molecule: ribosomal RNA, 401 nt
Filed under: Burkholderia sp. CK52
Lineage: Bacteria; Pseudomonadati; Pseudomonadota; Betaproteobacteria; Burkholderiales; Burkholderiaceae
Description: bacterial SSU rRNA
Rfam family: Bacterial small subunit ribosomal RNA
Source: RNAcentral